AUAGCGCGGAAAGGUGAGAAGCUCGGCGUUACCAGCUAAGUUGCCGAUGAACUGCCAUGAAAAGGUAUUAUAGCAAAGGCGGCAAAGAAAUAUUCGGCUUGAUUCGGUCUAUUGACAGCGAGCAGCAAAGUUGCUUAAACGUUUGCGCUAAGGCAAAGUCGCAUUUUAGCUGUAGACUACGGCGCUAAGGUAAAAUGCUUGCCAGGCAAUACAGUUUACUUGCUGCAACAGCGCACUUCACUUACUUAUACAUUUACGAAAAUAAAAAUAAAAUCAAAAUAAGCUUCAGACAAAAUCAGAAAAAGAAUGCGCUGCGCCAAUAGCGUUCUUCUCACGACGAGUGUCCGCUGCGCUUUUAAAUAUCAUAAAAAUUGAACGUUUAUAUAAAUAUAAAAUACCAACAAUAACGAGUGCUAUCAGCAACGUGAAAGCUGCAUUGAAUGCAAUCAACCGCACAAGAACAACAAUCAACGCUUUAUUGCCGGCGCGUUGAGUUGGCCGCGCCAUCCAGCCAGCCAGUCAGACAGUCAGUUAGCCAAGCAGUCAAAUAGCCAAUACCAGCUACGCACAGUGCUGCGACUGUCUUUCCAAAGGAGUAAAUACCGAAAGAAUAAAACAGAUAUACGAAGCUUGUCAAACCCAGAAGGAAAUGGCGAAUUCCCCCUCAAUUUUUGAAAUAUCGGUAUAAAAUUUGGCGGAGGUCCUUUACUUCUCAAUGUCUCCGUACAACCCAACCGAACAAAAUCAAGUGCUUGUAUGGUAAACUUUUUCAUUUGACGAGAUAUCUUCAAGAAAUUGGGAUGGAUUAUUGUGUAAGCUAACAGCACAAUCUUCGAAGAAAUUGCUCAGAGCGGACCACUACGAAAUACAAACGGACCGUUCAAAAUCAAGUUCUUGUAUGGAACCAUUGUAUUUGUGAAAGCUCGUUCUUUUGCUGCCUACCGUCCACUUCAAUACGAGAUUUUAUGAAAGAUUGCCUUGUCAGAAAUGCUCUCGAAGUUUUAAAAAAAGUCCACCAAGAGUCGAGUGCUUAGAAUUUUUUUCAUGUUUCGAUAACGAUCUACUUCAAUGUGGCAGAAAUUCUCCAUCAACGUAAUCAUCAUACUCAUCAUUAGGGGCUACCGAAUAAAUGAUUUUUGUUUUGUUUUUCUUAUUUGACUUGAAAGUUACGCUGCAAGAAUUAUUCAGUUGCAGUAAAUUAAUUCUUUAGCAUGGAACUUGCACUCCAUAACCGCACAAACUUUCAAUAUUCCAACAAAUUGACUAUGAAUUUUAUAAUUCUUGGCAUAAACGAUUAUCCGAAACGUUUAAUAUUUUAUUCCCAUCGUAAAUUUGUAUUAACUUUUUCGCCUGCGCGGAUGAAAAAAUUACUUUUUCGCACUCGAAGCCACCGAAGUGAUGAAAGGAAGUAUUUUUAAUCCAAUAUUAUGAAAAAAGCUCUGAGAAGAAUUCCACAUUAAUGCAUAUUUAUGCCAAUACAUAUAUACUUGUAUAUAUAUGUAAGUCUGUUUGUGAGCGCGUAAGUAUGUCUUAAUGCCAAGUGCAUACACAAAAUUGAGUUUUAACUUAAACUUUCGGCUUUUUCGCAUUUACUGCGCGCUUCUUUUCUACUCUACUCCCUUCUACAUCUAUGGUAUUUAUUUUCCGUCACUCUUGCCUUUCAUCUUUAAUUUGCGCUCGCAACCGAUUGCAGUUAUUACAAGGCGGCUUAUCGGAGUCGGCAACAUUGUGGUAGUGACUUUGCAUGCAAUAAUCCUGUGUGUCCGUGUGCACACACACACACGGAAGCAUACGUCGUACGUAUAUGUAUAUGUGUGUGCAUACUUAACGAUCUAUGUGUGUAUGCGUGCGUACGUUGUUGUUGCAGUUGUUCUUGUUGCGCGCUUUAUUAUUCUUCUUGUGUAAAUUUUUUAAUUGACAUCAUCUUUUAAUAUCCAAUAAAAACUUGAGCCUGCAACGAGGCCGCACCUCAACAGCAGCUGAUAUGCACCGCCCGUUCCGCCCACACGCGCCACCUUCCAGCAUUCAUGCCCGCCAGCUGUAAUAACAACAAUAAUACCAUGCCUUGACGUGCCAUGCCAAUCGCCAUUUACGCUGAUCUUACGCUGCGGCAAUUGCCGUUGCUUGUUGCAACGGCAACAGCAACAGCAGCGGCAGCAAUCGGCUGUUUUCUUUUUGCCGCUGUCGAUAUUUCUUUUUCGUAUUAUUAUUAUAUUUUAUGUUUGCUGGAUUUCGUAUUUUUGUUUGGUUGUUCUGGUUGCUGUUGUUGUUGGCCAACUUAAGCUACAGUGCUCGCUGGCAGUUGGUGUAUCGCGCCUCAGGCAAAUUAACUUUGCACGCGUUGAAUCUCCUUUCGCAAGCGGAAAAAACGCUUCCCCUUCUCGGAACAUCAUAAAUAAUUGCAAAAGAAUACCGAUGGCUAGAGCGCGCUGCCUUUAUAUAGAGGUGAGCGCUGCCGUGUGGGUGCCUGUGUGUUGCUGCUGUUGGUGCCCGGAUUCGACUUGUCCGCAUAUGUGUGUGUGUGUGUGGUUGUGAGUGCGCGCUGGCGAAAAAACGCGGAAAUGCGAUUAAAAUGCGCACCACAGAAAGAAAUGCAAUUUCACAGGCACACCGAUUGAUGCCCGGAUCCACUGGUAUUCGCAUUCGCACACGCUACGACGGUCAGUUGAGUUGGUCAAUUCAGUCAGUGGCUCGCAUGUGACUUUGAAAUCUUUGGACGACAUAUGCGCACGAACAAAAAACCGACUCCGACAUACGGUGGCAGGUUUUUUAAGCGGCACUUGAUAAAAAAUGACUAGGUGCUCAUACAACCAUACAUAUAUACCUACAUACAUACAUACAUACGUGUGUGUAUCCGUAUGGAAUUGAAUUAAAUAUAACUUAAGUAAGCGACGCUCUCAACACGUCUUGCACAGUAAGUUUUUUACUUGACUGCAACCCUGCUUUUGGUAGACUGGCUUGUGAACAGUAGACAUCAUCCGUUCGCUGGGGGAUCAGUUUAAAUAUAAAUUCUUUUAGAGGUAAUGUAUAUCAAAGAACGAGUUUCGAUAGUAUUUCGAUCAGUUUGUAAAGACUUUUAGUAGAGGAAUGUUGCAAUUAAUAAAACCGUAUAUUAGUUUUCCUGGUGCCCAGGAAAGCCCACCAGCUGCGGAAAGCACAUUUAAGCCUAUUUGAAAAGAAAUGAUUGUGAAAUUAUUGUAAGAGCGUAAAGAUCGGAGUAUUUUCCUCACUCAUGAAGGUUUUUCCAAGAUCCUUGCUGCAUAGAUGUCACGUCAAGUUCUACUCAGCUGCCACACCAUUCAAGAAGUAUUCCGAAGUAUAAGAAUCGCGUCAAUGAUCCGAUUAAUUUUCAUUAAUAUGUUUUAGUCGUCAUUAGGGAAGAAACAUAUUUUCUCUCGAGUUUUUUAAUAAUCGGAAUUCAGUAAUCGCUCGUCCUGUAAAUCAGAUUAUUGGAUUCGGACAGCUAUUGCAAAUCACGGUAAUCGAAUAAUGUCGAAAAUUGUAAGUAAGGUAGCAUUGGUACGAAAUAACUUCUACGGCUACCAAUGAUAUGUGUUUAAUUGGGAGACAGUCGGGCGCACAUUGAGUCUGGUUUAAUUGUGGUCGCUUGUAGUCCGACAGUUUUCGAUCUCUGCUUUCAAGCAACAAAACAUAAAAUUUGUUAAUGUUUCAUUCUCAAGAAACUCUAACUUGAUUAUUAUUAUUUCCUACCUUUUCACCAUAAACAUCUUACGUUGAGUUUACACAUUUUUUAUUAUUAUUUUAUUGUAAGGUAGCCCAAACCUUUCUUGCUUCAAGUAAAGUCGAUAGAAUGAAACGCAAUUGUCUUACGUAACAAAUUUAAUCACGCUCAUAGGAUACUGAGCGGCAACACUGUGAAGGUUCAACCGAUUUGUAUAUUUUUUUCUGUUUAGUAAAAUCCGUAAGAGGUACAAAACAAAAAUAUUGUAAAGUUUUCGCAUAUUUGAAAAUUGUAAGCCAAGAAACUUUUAGGAGGAGGAAUAUUUGGUUUAGUUGAAAAUAUUUAUUGAGAAGGGUUGCCACCUGUUUCAAUAUUUUAAUUUAAUAAAAUUGCCAAAUUAACGAAACAAUAUAUGGGUUACCACCUGUUUGAAAAGGUUGACUAAGGAAAAAUAAAAUAACUAUAGAAUGUAGCUGCCA
This is a non-coding RNA of Bactrocera oleae (olive fruit fly), 4161 nucleotides long. The record is from RefSeq and is a predicted model, not a curated record. Lineage: Eukaryota; Metazoa; Arthropoda; Insecta; Diptera; Tephritidae.